RNAcentral lists this ribosomal RNA (753 nucleotides) under uncultured Acidobacteriota bacterium. RNAcentral describes it as "bacterial SSU rRNA". It matches the Rfam family "Bacterial small subunit ribosomal RNA", at positions 74 to 861 of the family's 1533-position model. The record is from RNAcentral. Lineage: Bacteria; Pseudomonadati; Acidobacteriota.
GGGGAGCAAUCCCUGAGUAAAGUGGCGUACUGGUGAGUAACACGUGGAUAUCUACCUCCUGGUGGGGAAUAACCUGGGGAAACCUGGGCUAAUACCGCAUAAGUUCGUGAGAAGAAAGCCGAAAGGCGCCGGGAGAGGAGUCCGCGGUCGAUUAGGUAGCUGGCGGGGUAAGAGCCCACCAAGCCAAAGAUCGAUAGCCGGCCUGAGAGGGCACACGGCCACACUGGCACUGAAACACGGGCCAGACUCCUACGGGAGGCAGCAGUGGGGAAUCUUGCACAAUGGGGGAAACCCUGAUGCAGCGACGCCGCGUGAGCGAUGAAGCCCUUCGGGGUGUAAAGCUCUUUCGGCAGGAACGAUAAUGACGGUACCUGCAGAAGAAGCUGCGGCUAACUACGUGCCAGCAGCCGCGGUAAUACGUAGGCAGCAAGCGUUGUUCGGAAUUACUGGGCGUAAAGAGUGUGUAGGUGGUGUCGUAAGUUUGGUGUGAAAUCUCCCGGCUUAACUGGGAGGGUGCGCCGAAGACUGCGAUGCUGGAGUAUGGGAGAGGAAAGCGGAAUUCCUGGUGUAGCGGUGAAAUGCGUAGAUAUCAGGAGGAACACCUGCGGUGUAGACGGCUUUCUGGACCAUUACUGACACUGAGACACGAAAGCGUGGGUAGCAAACAGGAUUAGAUACCCUGGUAGUCCACGCCCUAAACGAUGCAUACUUGGUGUGAGCCAUUCAGUUGGUUCGUGCCGGAGCUAACGCGUU